CCUACGGGUGGCAGCAGUGGGGAAUAUUGCACAAUGGGGGGAACCCUGAUGCAGCAAUGCCGCGUGGGUGAAGAAGCACUUCGGUGCGUAAAGCUCUGUCAGUAGGGAAGAAAAUGACAGUACCUGGACAAGAAGCCCCGGCUAAUUACGUGCCAGCAGCCGCGGUAAUACGGAGGGGGCAAGCGUUAUCCGGAUUUACUGGGUGUAAAGGGAGCGCAGGCGGGGUGGCAUGUCUGAUGUGAAAACCCGGGGCCCAACCCGGGGAGUGCAUUUGAAACUGGCAGGCUGGAGUGCCGGAGAGGUAAGCGGAAUUCCUGGUGUAGCGGUGAAAUGCGUAGAUAGUAGGAGGAACACCAGUGGCGGAGGCGGCUUACUGGACGGUAACUGACGCUGAGGCUCGAAAGCGUGGGGAGCAAACAGGAUUAGAUACCCUAGUAGUC
Molecule: ribosomal RNA, 440 nt
Filed under: uncultured bacterium
Lineage: Bacteria
Description: partial 16S ribosomal RNA
Rfam family: Bacterial small subunit ribosomal RNA
Source: RNAcentral